UAACCUACCUCUGACUGGAGCAUAGCCCGAAGAAAUUCGGAUUAAUACUCCAUAAUACUGCGAGAAGGCAUCUUUUUUCAGUUAAAGCUUCGGCGGUCAGAGAUGGGCAUGCGUAACAUUAGCUGGUUGGUGAGGUAACAGCUCACCAAGGCUACGAUGUUUAGGGGGUCUGAGAGGAUGGUCCCCCACACUGGUACUGAGACACGGACCAGACUCCUACGGGAGGCAGCAGUGAGGAAUAUUGGUCAAUGGGCGAAAGCCUGAACCAGCCAUGCCGCGUGAAGGAUGACGGCCCUAUGGGUUGUAAACUUCUUUUAUACGGGAAGAAACCCCUCUACGUGUAGGGGGCUGACGGUACCGUACGAAUAAGCAUCGGCUAACUCCGUGCCAGCAGCCGCGGUAAUACGGAGGAUGCAAGCGUUAUCCGGAUUUAUUGGGUUUAAAGGGUGCGUAGGCGGAAAAUUAAGUCAGUGGUGAAAUCCUGCAGCUUAACUGUAGAAUUGUCAUUGAUACUGGUUUUCUUGAAUACAGUUGAGGUAGGCGGAAUGAGUAAUGUAGCGGUGAAAUGCUUAGAUAUUACUCAGAACACCAAUUGCGAAGGCAGCUUACUAAACUGUGAUUGACGCUGAGGCACGAAAGCGUGGGGAGCGAACAGGAUUAGAUACCCUGGUAGUCCACGCCGUAAACGAUGAUCACUCGUUGUUGGCAAUACACCGUCAGCGACUGAGCGAAAGUAUUAAGUGAUCCACCUGGGGAGUACGAUUGCAAGAUUGAAACUCAAAGGAAUUGACGGGGGCCCGCACAAGCGGAGGAACAUGUGGUUUAAUUCGAUGAUACGCGAGGAACCUUACCUGGGCUUAAAUGCAUAACGACGGAUCGGGAAACUGGUCUUUCUUCGGACGGAAUGCAAGGUGCUACAUGGCUGUCGUCAGCUCGUGCCGUGAGGUGUCGGGUUAAGUCCCAUAACGAGCGCAACCCUCAUCAUUAGUUGCCAGCGGGUAAUGCCGGGGACUCUAAUGAAACUGCCGGUGUAAACCGAGGGGAAGGCGAGGAUGACGUCAAGUCAGCACGGCCCUUAUGUCCAGGGCUACACACGUGUUACAAUGGUCAGUACAAAGGGCAGCUACCAGGCAACUGGAUGCUAAUCUCAAAAGCUGGUCACAGUUCGGAUCGGAGUCUGCAACUCGACUUCGUGAAGUUGGAUUCGCUAGUAAUCGCGCAUCAGCCAUGGCGCGGUGAUACGUUCCCGGGCCUUGUACACACCGCCCGUCAAGCCAUGGAA
Molecule: ribosomal RNA, 1282 nt
Filed under: uncultured organism
Description: bacterial SSU rRNA
Rfam family: Bacterial small subunit ribosomal RNA
Source: RNAcentral